RNAcentral lists this ribosomal RNA (3103 nucleotides) under Saccharomyces cerevisiae (brewer's yeast). It matches the Rfam family "Bacterial large subunit ribosomal RNA". Lineage: Eukaryota; Fungi; Ascomycota; Saccharomycetes; Saccharomycetales; Saccharomycetaceae. The record is from RNAcentral.
AUCAUGGAGUAUAAUAAUUAAAUUUAAUAAAUUUAAUAUAACUAUUAAUAGAAUUAGGUUACUAAUAAAUUAAUAACAAUUAAUUUUAAAACCUAAAGGUAAACCUUUAUAUUAAUAAUGUUUUUUUUUUAUUAUUUUUUUAUAAUAAGAAUAAUUAUUAAUAAUAAUAAACUAAGUGAACUGAAACAUCUAAGUAACUUAAGGAUAAGAAAUCAACAGAGAUAUUAUGAGUAUUGGUGAGAGAAAAUAAUAAAGGUCUAAUAAGUAUUAUGUGAAAAAAAUGUAAGAAAAUAGGAUAACAAAUUCUAAGACUAAAUACUAUUAAUAAGUAUAGUAAGUACCGUAAGGGAAAGUAUGAAAAUGAUUAUUUUAUAAGCAAUCAUGAAUAUAUUAUAUUAUAUUAAUGAUGUACCUUUUGUAUAAUGGGUCAGCAAGUAAUUAAUAUUAGUAAAACAAUAAGUUAUAAAUAAAUAGAAUAAUAUAUAUAUAUAAAAAAAUAUAUUAAAAUAUUUAAUUAAUAUUAAUUGACCCGAAAGCAAACGAUCUAACUAUGAUAAGAUGGAUAAACGAUCGAACAGGUUGAUGUUGCAAUAUCAUCUGAUUAAUUGUGGUUAGUAGUGAAAGACAAAUCUGGUUUGCAGAUAGCUGGUUUUCUAUGAAAUAUAUGUAAGUAUAGCCUUUAUAAAUAAUAAUUAUUAUAUAAUAUUAUAUAAAUAUUAUAUAAAGAAUGGUACAGCAAUUAAUAUAUAUUAGGGAACUAUUAAAGUUUUAUUAAUAAUAUUAAAUCUCGAAAUAUUUAAUUAUAUAUAAUAAAGAGUCAGAUUAUGUGCGAUAAGGUAAAUAAUCUAAAGGGAAACAGCCCAGAUUAAGAUAUAAAGUUCCUAAUAAAUAAUAAGUGAAAUAAAUAUUAAAAUAUUAUAAUAUAAUCAGUUAAUGGGUUUGACAAUAACCAUUUUUUAAUGAACAUGUAACAAUGCACUGAUUUAUAAUAAAUAAAAAAAAAUAAUAUUUAAAAUCAAAUAUAUAUAUAUUUGUUAAUAGAUAAUAUACGGAUCUUAAUAAUAAGAAUUAUUUAAUUCCUAAUAUGGAAUAUUAUAUUUUUAUAAUAAUAAUAAAAAUAUAAAUACUGAAUAUCUAAAUAUUAUUAUUACUUUUUUUUAAUAAUAAUAAUAUGGUAAUAGAACAUUUAAUGAUAAUAUAUAUUAGUUAUUAAUUAAUAUAUGUAUUAAUUAAAUAGAGAAUGCUGACAUGAGUAACGAAAAAAAGGUAUAAACCUUUUCACCUAAAACAUAAGGUUUAACUAUAAAAGUACGGCCCCUAAUUAAAUUAAUAAGAAUAUAAAUAUAUUUAAGAUGGGAUAAUCUAUAUUAAUAAAAAUUUAUCUUAAAAUAUAUAUAUUAUUAAUAAUUAUAUUAAUUAAUUAAUAAUAUAUAUAAUUAUAUUAUAUAUUAUAUUUUUAUAUAUAAUAUAUAUAAUAUAAACUAAUAAAGAUCAGGAAAUAAUUAAUGUAUACCGUAAUGUAGACCGACUCAGGUAUGUAAGUAGAGAAUAUGAAGGUGAAUUAGAUAAUUAAAGGGAAGGAACUCGGCAAAGAUAGCUCAUAAGUUAGUCAAUAAAGAGUAAUAAGAACAAAGUUGUACAACUGUUUACUAAAAACACCGCACUUUGCAGAAACGAUAAGUUUAAGUAUAAGGUGUGAACUCUGCUCCAUGCUUAAUAUAUAAAUAAAAUUAUUUAACGAUAAUUUUAUUAAAUUUAGGUAAAUAGCAGCCUUAUUAUGAGGGUUAUAAUGUAGCGAAAUUCCUUGGCCUAUAAUUGAGGUCCCGCAUGAAUGACGUAAUGAUACAACAACUGUCUCCCCUUUAAGCUAAGUGAAAUUGAAAUCGUAGUGAAGAUGCUAUGUACCUUCAGCAAGACGGAAAGACCCUAUGCAGCUUUACUGUAAUUAGAUAGAUCGAAUUAUUGUUUAUUAUAUUCAGCAUAUUAAGUAAUCCUAUUAUUAGGUAAUCGUUUAGAUAUUAAUGAGAUACUUAUUAUAAUAUAAUGAUAAUUCUAAUCUUAUAAAUAAUUAUUAUUAUUAUUAAUAAUAAUAAUAAUAUGCUUUCAAGCAUAGUGAUAAAACAUAUUUAUAUGAUAAUCACUUUACUUAAUAGAUAUAAUUCUUAAGUAAUAUAUAAUAUAUAUUAUAUAUAUAUUAUAUAUAAUAUAAGAGACAAUCUCUAAUUGGUAGUUUUGAUGGGGCGUCAUUAUCAGCAAAAGUAUCUGAAUAAGUCCAUAAAUAAAUAUAUAAAAUUAUUGAAUAAAAAAUAAUAUAUAUUAUAUAUAUUAAUUAUAAAUUGAAAUAUGUUUAUAUAAAUUUAUAUUUAUUGAAUAUAUUUUAGUAAUAGAUAAAAAUAUGUACAGUAAAAUUGUAAGGAAAACAAUAAUAACUUUCUCACUUAAAUAAAAAUGGAAAGAAUUAAAUUAAUAUAAUGGUAUAACUGUGCGAUAAUUGUAACACAAACGAGUGAAACAAGUACGUAAGUAUGGCAUAAUGAACAAAUAACACUGAUUGUAAAGGUUAUUGAUAACGAAUAAAAGUUACGCUAGGGAUAACAGGGUAAUAUAACGAAAGAGUAGAUAUUGUAAGUUAUGUUUGCCACCUCGAUGUCGACUCAACAUUUCCUCUUGGUUGUAAAAGCUAAGAAGGGUUUGACUGUUCGUCAAUUAAAAUGUUACGUGAGUUGGGUUAAAUACGAUGUGAAUCAGUAUGGUUCCUAUCUGCUGAAGGAAAUAUUAUCAAAUUAAAUCUCAUUAUUAGUACGCAAGGACCAUAAUGAAUCAACCCAUGGUGUAUCUAUUGAUAAUAAUAUAAUAUAUUUAAUAAAAAUAAUACUUUAUUAAUAUAUUAUCUAUAUUAGUUUAUAUUUUAAUUAUAUAUUAUCAUAGUAGAUAAGCUAAGUUGAUAAUAAAUAAAUAUUGAAUACAUAUUAAAUAUGAAGUUGUUUUAAUAAGAUAAUUAAUCUGAUAAUUUUAUACUAAAAUUAAUAAUUAUAGGUUUUAUAUAUUAUUUAUAAAUAAAUAUAUUAUAAUAAUAAUAAUUAUUAUUAUUAAUAAAAAAUAU